UUGAGCUAGGUAUGCAAGACGUUAUAUUGUACAACAGUACUGGUCCUUAACUGCUAAUCAAAUAGCCAAUUACAAUACUGAUCCCUGAGUCAUGAAUAGCCUUUUUGUACUUAGAAUUCAGUGCUGUCAACACCAUUAGACCUGCUAUUGAUCAUUCUCUUUAAAUUUAAAUCAUCCCAAGAAUAUAAACUGUAAAAAGAUUUAUGUGAUAUGGCAGAAAUCAUAGGUUUUGUGUACAGUGCUACCAGGAGAGCAAUGAAACUGUCACGUGAAGCUCGGUGAAGGAAGACAGCAGCGAGAGCAGGAGCCCACAGUUUUGUUUUCCGAAGGGAACUUAUCACUGUUCUUUUGAGGCAUUGCUGGAAGGCUGAGGGAGGGGGAUACAAGGAAAAUACAGCCUGUAUUGGGAUCCUGUCUGCUCGAAGUGAGAAGGGCAGGAGAGUCAUUAUGCAAUAUUCAGCAGCAAGCAACUUUCAGCCAGGCCAGGAAAGGCUCGAUACAGUGCUGCCUGUAGGAUUUAGGAUCUAACUGCUGCAGGGAGUGGUGAUGUGGUCACCAAAGAGAGUUUUUGCUUAGGGAGCUUGCCCUCUGGCAAAAGGGUGAGAUGUAUUUGAUUGGGUCUGCUUCAGAUCUUAGUUGUAUACUGUCCAGUGUUUGGACUGGAGAGUACCUAGAGUCCGGGUAGCUGCUCUCGUGAAGUGCUGAUGUUUCUGAAAAAGGAGAGAGUUCCAAGUCAGAACUGAAGCCUGAGCGUUGCUUUUACUUAAAUGCUGCUUUGAUUGAAAAGAGAAAACAAGCCAUAAAAUAAAGGGUUCUUUUAAGAGUCAGUAUGCUGCUUUUUCUCGAUAAUCCCCUAAAGUCUAAACUUGGCAGAAGGGAGGUAUAAUCUAGGCUUUGCCUGUGCCUCAACUUUCCGUACUUCUCUGUGGCAGAUAUAUCAACUUUCAAAGUUUUUCCAGCCAAUGCACUACUGUUGCAACACACAGGCAAGGAAAGCCUAAAGCAGAUACGAAAUGUGUAAAUGUUGUGCUCGAGUUGGGGGGGGGGUUGGAAGGGAAGAGGAAGUGAAGAAACGAUGUUGAAAUGCAAAUGUUGAGCAACCUUGCGAGCUAUUGCGGGGAUUAAUGGCAGUGACGGGCACAUUGCCAGAGUCUAGUGUAAGGAGAUAAGCAUCUGUCUCAAAACAAAAAACCCACAGCAUCAGUGACAUUUUGAACCAUGUAGUGACACAGUUUUUGGCUAGGGUGAAGUGGGUGCUUUGGGCUAAAAUCACAAACGUUGUCUAGAAAAAAAUUAAACUUUGUGCUCAAGUAAGGGUUAGAGACUGUCCUGCAUUUUUUGCUUUCUCUUCUGCAAGCCCUGAAUGACAUCCAUAAGAAUUUUCAUCCUUGUAGAGGUGGGAGAAGGCAUCCACACAGGUAUUGCAGGACAGAAAGGGAAGCAGGUGAAGGAAGAUGGAAGGGGAGCUGUAGGAUUUCAAGUCCAGUUUCUUUUGUUCUGCCAGAAUCAUUGGGGAACCCAGAAGUUUCUUUCCUGUCCUGUUCUGCCACCAAUACAAGGUGUUGCUGUUGAGGAACUACAGUUACUUGCAAGGCACUAAACUAUAAAGGGCUUCUUGCAGCUCGUGGCGUGACAGGUGGAAGAGAAGUGAGUGAAAGCCAAGUGGUGUACAGAGGAGCUGUAUCCCUGCAGGAGCAGGACUGGAGUGUGGUGUGUCACUGAAUCAGAGACCAAAGACUCCCGUAAGUCCCUUUGUGCAGAGCUGGCACACAUGCUGGCACCGCUGCCCCCAAACCCUCUCCAGGCCCUGCUUGCAGCCACGGACCACAGCUGGUCUCUGAACUGGGACCACUCCUGGGCAAGUCUUUGGUCUUGUGGUAAAUGACAGCAAUCUCCUGGUCCAGUGACAAAUUUGGGUCCCUCAGCUUGUGUUAUUUAAUUUUAUUCUUUUUUUUUUUUUGCAAACAUCUCCUGUAGUCAGUGGAGCACUAGCAGAUAUUACAACACUUCCAUACUUCUCAGAGACUUGUGCCCUGGCACAGUAUGACUGCUGUGAAAUCACCGCGCUGUUCUUUCUACUCAGACUUGGGCAACACGUGUCCUGUGUCCUGCCUGACCAGUGAUGAGGUAGAGUAUAGAAAGCCCAGGUGACCACGUUCCUCUCAAAUAAAGAGAGCAGAAACCAACUGAUGGCACGAAGCCCACAUCCAAGUAGUGUGCUUCAGUGUACUCUCCUACCUGAACUGCUGGAAAAUCAAUGCCUACAGACAGAGUUUGUCUGGCAGGCAGGAGGUGAGUCUGCUGAAAGUCUAUUUAACACCAGGAAUGGAUAGGGGGUGCUCUGAAACUCUAGAGAUUCUGAUAGAUGUCUGUAACAAAAUUACCAGAAAUUCUUUUCUAGAAUAGGUAAAAAAGGCAUGCUAAACUGCAUCUGUACUCAAGAGUGGUUGAGGACAGCUUUCAGAACAUAAAUCCCACCCUUAAAUAGGGGCUUACCUUGCCAGUGUGUUUUCAGGGUUUAAAGAGAUUCUUCUGUUGCUGAAGAACAGCUUCACACUAAGGUACUCUGGCAAUCAAAUUUAGUAAUGCCGUCAAUGUCACCCAACAUCACAAAAACUACAUAGCUAAGUUCUUGGCAUGAAUGCUCAUCAUAAAAUAUGUAGAAUGCUUCAUAAGGGAAAUAAAAUUCAUGGUUGGACCAAAUGUUUUUAUAAAGACAGUCAAAUUCCACUUUAAUUAUGCUCCAGUGCAUGAAUUUAUGAUGACAAAUUUACAUGCCCUUAAUCUAGUGAGCAUAUGCUUUUCAUUAGGCAAUGGGGAUAGAAGCAGUGUGGCUAAGUUAAAUUCAUAGUAAUUUAGCUGGUAACUUCUAGCCAACCCUGUAAGGUCCCUGACUUGAAAGACUUCAGUGCUGCCUACCUACUUACCUGAUCAAACCCCCUUAUUUUAAGUACUUCCUUAAAACACCAUGGUCAAAAGUACUCAAGGAAUUGGUAAAAAAAAAAAAGCCUGUCACAAUACCCGUGUAAUCAAUUACAGCAUUUGGAACAUAGGAGAGCUAAAUGGGAGCUCUUAACUACAUCCUACAGUAGGUCAUCAAUCAAAAUCUUGACUAAUGUACAGCAUCAGCUUGGAAAGAAAAAACCUUUAAGUGAUCAGACAGCUCUCAACUCUUAUUUCUGUCACUUUUAGUCUCAGUUGCAGCAAAAAAAAAAAAAAAAAAGAGGAAAAAAUACAUAAAAACGGCUGUACCAAUUAUUUUCAAUCAACCUAUCUCAAAUGUUUCAGCUAGCUGACAGUGGCAAGAGGAGGCUGCCAGAGCUCCGGGUAGCUGAGCUGCCACCUCCACAGCUGCUGGAGCCCCUCUAACUGGGGCAGCCAACCCCCAGAAAGUCAUCAGCUUUGCAAACAGGCUCCCACGUCAGCUUUUGCCCAAAGACUUCAAGGUGCAAGAAUGAAACAGAGGCAUUGCAGGGGAAAAAAAUAAUGACCCAGUUUCUCCAUGCAAAACAUUAUCAAAGCAGUCGAACGCAGCCAAAUAUGGGACAGCGUUGUGAGUUCCAGCAGGUUCAGAGCCACUUUUGUAUUAAAAAAAAAAAAAAAAAAAAAGAAAAAGAAAAGAAAAAGAAGUCUUUCCCACAAUCGAAGUGUUUAUGGAGUUCGAAAAGGCCCCAUGCCAUCCCGGGUCCAGAGCUGUUCCCGCUGAGGAAGGUCUCCCCCGGCGCGCUCCCACGGGCACCAGCCAGAAGCAGGCUCCUCAGGACACCCCUCGAUCGAGAGGACCGUGUGAAUUAGUUUUCUGGGCUGGCUUGUUCAUGCACCACUUUCAUGAUCUUCAUUUCGUCAGCUUUAACCCACACUCUGCCAGUCCCUGAACCAGGCUAAUCCUGCGUGUUUCAGCACGUGGGGCACCCUGGCAAAGAUUUGGGAUGGGAUGGAGGGGAUUACUUUUGUUUAUUUGUUUAUUUAAAUGCCUCUGCAACUCAAAUGGGGGGGGAAAUUUGGAAAAUCAAAGAGAAUCAGAGUAAGAUUUUGAUGUCUUUCCUUAAAAACUAAGCUAUGAAAAGCACUGAAGUAAAACAGUGAUACAGACUGGUCA
Long non-coding RNA from Tyto alba (common barn owl), 4099 nucleotides. RefSeq lists it as uncharacterized. NCBI's taxonomy places the organism in Eukaryota, Metazoa, Chordata, Aves, Strigiformes, Tytonidae. The record is from RefSeq and is a predicted model, not a curated record. The transcript is spliced from 3 exons.